Triticum dicoccoides is the source of this 1519-nucleotide long non-coding RNA. RefSeq lists it as uncharacterized. NCBI's taxonomy places the organism in Eukaryota, Viridiplantae, Streptophyta, Magnoliopsida, Poales, Poaceae. The transcript has 5 exons. The record is from RefSeq and is a predicted model, not a curated record.
GCCCGUCGCCGCCCGGCCACCCGGCGCCUCGCCGCUUCCCCAUCACAAGGGCCUCAGCCCCGGCGCCCCCCCAGCCCCGGCGACCCCAGCCCUGGCGCGCCUCCGCCCCGGAGACUUCCAUCUCCGGCCUCCUCCCUCCGUCGCCGCCGCGCCUCAGGCCACUCCCUCUGCCACCGACCUAGAUCCCUCCGAGCACCGCGCGCCAUCUCCUGCGAUUCCCAUCACCGCCGGUUUCUAGCGCGGCUCACCGCCUCCCAGCGACGAUGAGGAAGAUGACAGGGGAGCUGCCCGUCUUCACGCAUGGCGCCCCUGGUCCUUGGAUCCCCCCUCCCCGCUCCCCUCCGGCGACCCUACUCGCUCGCCUGGCGCUCGCUCCGGUGACCAGCCGCGCGUCACACGAUAGAUCUCGAAGCUCCUUUACAUUCAGCGCCGCCGCCACACAACCUCAUCUCCGUUUUCUCUUCAUUACGACCUGUAGCCUGUAGGAGUUUCUUCAGCUGCGGUUCAACAAGAAAACCAGCGGCAGUCCAUGCACCCGUUCUAUCUCUUUCCUCUCUAAUGCUCUUUAUCUUACUAAUUUGUUUUCUAUUGGAACUGCAGCCCGAGGGAGGUUGGACGGACAACAUAUUGGUGAUGUUAACAUCAGUCUGUUUAUAUUGAACUGAUGAUCGUGUAUUACUACUGAAGUCAAGCAAUGAGUUCAAUGGAUUCCAAAAAGGAAAAAACUGUGGAUGGGUGAUGAAUCAACUUCCUGUACAGUUGUGCCAUGAGCAGUGGAUGACCCCGACCACCGGCACCACUGCUUCCCGACCUCCUGCUUGCAUCGCGGAGAGCCCUGGCCGUUCACAGCCACCACUCGAGGCCAUUCAACGCCACACCCCAGGCCGUUCAUUGCCAGCAGCACCCUGGAUCCCACCCCUCACCCUACGAGUUUCAGUUAUCGACAAGUCCAUGUAGUACUACAUGCGAAGUACAAAAAUUACUGCUAGUGAGAGUUCAUUUAAAUCCUGCAGUCCUACUUCUCCAUGACGACAAGGACGACGUUGCCAUGCGUGCACGCUCCAACCUGUCCCCUGUCGCAGCCCCACGCACUCCAACCCGAGGACCACCAUGAUGGAGGUCGCCUCACAGCCUAGCGAUGAGUGUUUGUUGGUUUCUCUUUCAUUAAUGGACAUCUUGGGCUUGCUGGGUGCAGAAUCAAAAAGCCCAAUCAUCAUCAGGGAUGAAAAAAAGGAGAGAAGCACGGGAAGAGGUACUAGUAGAAGAGGUAGAAGUAAUGUGGAAAAUGAGAUAAAUGUGAGAAUAGCAAGUAGUAAAGCAUGAGAGGGAUUCAGAUUUUGUUUUCACAUUCUUGCUGUACACGUACCUUUGGUCUGUAGAUGCACCGUAAUGGAUCUAGGAAGUAUGAAUGGUUAAUACCUCAAUGGUGCACUAUGCAUCUUUGGCCGGUUUUUAUGCAUUUUUAAAUGGUUGCGGAGCAAUUUAAUGGUGCGCUAUGCACUGAAGUAUACAUUGUUUA